Molecule: ribosomal RNA, 380 nt
Filed under: uncultured eukaryote
Lineage: Eukaryota
Description: partial 18S ribosomal RNA
Rfam family: Eukaryotic small subunit ribosomal RNA
Source: RNAcentral
CAAUAGCGUGUAUUAAAGUUGUUGCAGUUAAAAAGCUCGUAGUUGGAUUUGUGGCGUACGGUGUGUUCCGGGCACUUGUUGUCUGAGUAACCUGCUGUUGCCAUCCUUGGGUGGAACCUGUGUGGCAUUAGGUUGUCGUGCAGGGGAUGCCCAUCAUUUACUGUGAAAAAAUUAGAGUGUUCAAAGCAGGCUUAUGCCGUUGAAUAUAUUAGCAUGGAAUAAUGAGAUAGGACUUUUUUGCUAUUUUGUUGGUUUGCGCAAAGAGGUAAUGAUUAAUAGGGACAGUUGGGGGUAUUCGUAUUCCAUUGUCAGAGGUGAAAUUCUUGGAUUUUUGGAAGACGAACUACUGCGAAAGCAUUUACCAAGGAUGUUUUCAUUAA